UGGGGAAUAUUGCACAAUGGGCGCAAGCCUGAUGCAGCCAUGCCGCGUGUAUGAAGAAGGCCUUCGGGUUGUAAAGUACUUUCAGCGGGGAGGAAGGGAGUAAAGUUAAUACCUUUGCUCAUUGACGUUACCCGCAGAAGAAGCACCGGCUAACUCCGUGCCAGCAGCCGCGGUAAUACGGAGGGUGCAAGCGUUAAUCGGAAUUACUGGGCGUAAAGCGCACGCAGGCGGUUUGUUAAGUCAGAUGUGAAAUCCCCGGGCUCAACCUGGGAACGGCAUCUGAUACUGGCAAGCUUGAGUCUCGUAGAGGGGGGUAGAAUUCCAGGUGUAGCGGUGAAAUGCGUCGAGAUCUGGAGGAAUACCGGUGGCGAAGGCGGCCCCUGGACGAAGACUGACGCUCAGGUGCGAAAGCGUGGGGAGCAAACAGG
This 428-nucleotide ribosomal RNA is filed under the name Chloroflexota bacterium. RNAcentral describes it as "Chloroflexi bacterium partial 16S ribosomal RNA". It matches the Rfam family "Bacterial small subunit ribosomal RNA", at positions 355 to 776 of the family's 1533-position model. The record is from RNAcentral. Lineage: Bacteria; Bacillati; Chloroflexota.